RNAcentral lists this ribosomal RNA (401 nucleotides) under uncultured bacterium. Its description in RNAcentral is "bacterial SSU rRNA". It matches the Rfam family "Bacterial small subunit ribosomal RNA", at positions 355 to 774 of the family's 1533-position model. The record is from RNAcentral.
UGGGGAAUAUUGCACAAUGGGCGAAAGCCUGAUGCAGCAACGCCGCGUGAGUGAUGAAGGCCUUCGGGUUGUAAAGCUCUGUCUUCUGGGACGAUAAUGACGGUACCGGAGGAGGAAGCCACGGCUAACUACGUGCCAGCAGCCGCGGUAAUACGUAGGUGGCAAGCGUUGUCCGGAUUUACUGGGCGUAAAGGAUGCGUAGGCGGAUACUUAAGUCAGAUGUGAAAAUCCCGGGCUUAACUUGGGAACUGCAUUUGAAACUGGGUAUCUAGAGUGCGGGAGAGGAAAGUGGAAUUCCUAGUGUAGCGGUGAAAUGCGUAGAGAUUAGGAAGAACACCAGUGGCGAAGGCGACUUUCUGGACCGUAACUGACGCUGAGGCAUGAAAGCGUGGGAGCAAACA